Molecule: ribosomal RNA, 253 nt
Filed under: uncultured bacterium
Lineage: Bacteria
Description: partial 16S ribosomal RNA
Rfam family: Bacterial small subunit ribosomal RNA
Source: RNAcentral
UACAGAGGGUGCGAGCGUUGUCCGGAAUCACUGGGCGUAAAGGGCGCGUAGGCGGCUUGAUAAGCGUGCGGUGAAAGCCCGGGGCUCAACCCCGGGUCGGCCGUGCGAACUGUCGAGCUGGAGCACUGUAGAGGCAGGUGGAAUUCCGGGUGUAGCGGUGGAAUGCGUAGAGAUCCGGAAGAACACCAGUGGCGAAGGCGGCCCGCUGGGCAGUGGCUGACGCUGAAGCGCGACAGCGUGGGGAGCAAACAGG